RNAcentral lists this ribosomal RNA (440 nucleotides) under uncultured bacterium. RNAcentral describes it as "partial 16S ribosomal RNA". It matches the Rfam family "Bacterial small subunit ribosomal RNA", at positions 338 to 795 of the family's 1533-position model. The record is from RNAcentral.
CCUACGGGUGGCAGCAGUGGGGAAUAUUGCACAAUGGGGGAAACCCUGAUGCAGCAACGCCGCGUGAGUGAAGAAGUAUUUCGGGAUGUAAAGCUCUAGCAGCAGGGAAGAAGAUGACGGUACCUGAAUAAGAAGCCGCGGCUAACGACGUGCCAGCAGCCGCGGUAAUACGUAGGGGGCAAGCGUUAUCCGGAUUUACGGGGUGUAAAGGGAGCGCAGACGGCAGUGCAAGUCAGAUGUGAAACCUAUGGGCUCAACCCCUCGCCUGCAUUUGAAACUGGACUUCUUGAGUGCUGGAGAGGCAAUCGGAAUUCCGUGUGUAGCGGUGAAAUGCGUAGAUAUCCGGAGGAACACCAGUGGCGAAGGCGGCUUGCUGGACAGUAACUGACGCUGAGGCGCGAAAGCGUGGGGAGCAAACAGGAUUAGAUACCCUAGUAGUC